This 283-nucleotide long non-coding RNA is filed under the name Trifolium pratense (red clover). Its description in RNAcentral is "long non-coding RNA (TPRA_LNC006348)". Lineage: Eukaryota; Viridiplantae; Streptophyta; Magnoliopsida; Fabales; Fabaceae. The record is from RNAcentral.
CCACAUAGUAGUGAGGGGAUUCAACUGAACCCCCUGAACUUGAAAAAAUUGCAUAUAUAUUUCUAUAAAUUUUGCACUUUGAAUCCCCUAGAAUUUUACCUUUGCACCCACGAAAGAGAAGGAGAAAACACAUAAGAAAGAACAUACAUAGAGAAAGCAUAGUUGUUGAGAAGUUGCAGGAAGAAAAAAAAAAGAAAGAAGGAAGAACUACGUUCAAGAAGAAACAGAGCGGCGGCAACAAGAUGAAGACACUAGUGUUUAGGUUUAAGUUUAAGUUUGGGCU